This 569-nucleotide ribosomal RNA is filed under the name uncultured fungus. RNAcentral's name for it is "eukaryotic LSU rRNA". It matches the Rfam family "Eukaryotic large subunit ribosomal RNA", at positions 69 to 652 of the family's 3401-position model. Lineage: Eukaryota; Fungi. The record is from RNAcentral.
ACAGGAUUCCCCUAGUAACGGCGAGUGAAGCGGGAAGAGCUCAAAUUUGUAAUCUGGCACUUUCAGUGUCCGAGUUGUAAUCUCGAGAAGUGUUUUCCGCGCUGGACCGCAUACAAGUCUGUUGGAAUACAGCGUCAUAGUGGUGAGAACCCCGUAACUGAUGCGGAUGCCCAGUGCUUUGUGAUACACUUUCGAAGAGUCGAGUUGUUUGGGAAUGCAGCUCAAAUUGGGUGGUAAAUUCCAUCUAAAGCUAAAUAUUGGCGAGAGACCGAUAGCGAACAAGUACCGUGAGGGAAAGAUGAAAAGCACUUUGGAAAGAGAGUUAACAGUACGUGAAAUUGUUGGAAGGGAAACGCUUGAAGUCAGACUUGCUAUUUGGAUUUAUUCAAUUCGCAGGCCAGCAUCAGUUUUCGGGGGUGGAAAAGGGUUUGGAGAAGGUAGCAACUCCGGUUGUGUUAUAGCUCCUUGCUGGAUUCAUCUUUGGGGACUGAGGAACGCAGCACGCUUUUUGCAAGGCUUUCGAGCUUUUCGUGCUUAGGAUGCUGGUGGAAUGGCUUUAAACGACCCGU